CCUACGGGUGGCAGCAGUGAGGAAUAUUGGACAAUGGACGCAAGUCUGAUCCAGCCAUGCCGCGUGCAGGAAGACGGCUCUAUGAGUUGUAAACUGCUUUUGUACGAGGGUAAAUCCCGAUACGUGAAUCGGGUUGAAAGUAUCGUACGAAUAAGGAUCGGCAAACUCCGUGCCAGCAGCCGCGGUAAUACGGAGGAUUCAAGCGUUAUCCGGAUUUAUUGGGUUUAAAGGGUGGGUAGGCGGGCGGUUAAGUCGACGGUAAAAGCCAGGGGCUCAACCUCGGCGAGCCUUUGAAACUGGAUGACUUGAGAUGUGGAGAGGUGUGCGGAAUGCGAAGUGUAGCGGUGAAAUGCUUAGAUAUUGCGCAGAACUCCGGUGGCGAAGGCAGCAUACCGGCGGCGAACUGACGCUGAGGCACGAAAGCGUGGGUAUCGAACAGGAUUAGAUACCCUAGUAGUC
This 459-nucleotide ribosomal RNA is filed under the name uncultured bacterium. Its description in RNAcentral is "partial 16S ribosomal RNA". It matches the Rfam family "Bacterial small subunit ribosomal RNA", at positions 338 to 795 of the family's 1533-position model. The record is from RNAcentral.